This 497-nucleotide ribosomal RNA is filed under the name uncultured bacterium. RNAcentral's name for it is "partial 16S ribosomal RNA". The stretch from base 60 to 497 matches the Rfam family "Bacterial small subunit ribosomal RNA", at positions 39 to 507 of the family's 1533-position model. The record is from RNAcentral.
GGGGGGGGGGGGGGGGGGGGGGGGGGGAGGGGGGGCGGGGGGGCGGGGGGGGGGGGGGCUCGGCGGGCGUGGGCGGCGGGCGGGUGAGGGGCGGGUGGGUAGCCUGCGUAUGGGACUGGGGUAGCUUCGGGAACCCGGAGGUGAUACCGGCUGAUGUCUUGACGCGCAUGGGUCCAUAGGGAACGACGGUUUUGCUUGGCCUUAGCGGUGGGUCCACGCUGCAUUAGCUAGUUGGGAAGGUAACGGCUUACAAAGGCAACGAUGCGUAGCCGAGCUGAGAGGGUGAUCGGCCACACUGGAACUCAGACACGGUCCAGACUCCUACGGGAGGCAGCAGUAGGGAAUCUUCCGCAAUGGGCGAAAGCCUGACGGAGCAACGCCGCGUGAGUGAUGAAGGUCUUCGGAUCGUAAAACUCUGUUAUUAGGGAAGAACAACUGUGUAAGUAACUAUGCACGUCUUGACGGUACCUAAUCAGAAAGCCACGGCUAACUACGUG